This 1394-nucleotide ribosomal RNA is filed under the name Streptomyces doudnae. RNAcentral describes it as "Streptomyces sp. DSM 41981 partial 23S ribosomal RNA". It matches the Rfam family "Bacterial large subunit ribosomal RNA", at positions 1554 to 2925 of the family's 2925-position model. Lineage: Bacteria; Bacillati; Actinomycetota; Actinomycetes; Kitasatosporales; Streptomycetaceae. The record is from RNAcentral.
GGCUGAGACCUGAUGCCGAGCCGAUUGUGGUGAAGUGGAUGAUCCUAUGCUGUCGAGAAAAGCCUCUAGCGAGUUUCAUGGCGGCCCGUACCCUAAACCGACUCAGGUGGUCAGGUAGAGAAUACCGAGGCGUUCGGGUGAACUAUGGUUAAGGAACUCGGCAAAAUGCCCCCGUAACUUCGGGAGAAGGGGGGCCACAUCCGGUGAGAGGAUUUACUCCUUGAGCUGGGGGUGGCCGCAGAGACCAGCGAGAAGCGACUGUUUACUAAAAACACAGGUCCGUGCGAAGCCGUAAGGCGAUGUAUACGGACUGACGCCUGCCCGGUGCUGGAACGUUAAGGGGACCGGUUAGUCGAGAUUCGUCUCGGCGAAGCUGAGAACUUAAGCGCCAGUAAACGGCGGUGGUAACUAUAACCAUCCUAAGGUAGCGAAAUUCCUUGUCGGGUAAGUUCCGACCUGCACGAAUGGCGUAACGACUUCUCGACUGUCUCAACCAUAGGCCCGGUGAAAUUGCACUACGAGUAAAGAUGCUCGUUUCGCGCAGCAGGACGGAAAGACCCCGGGACCUUUACUACAGUUUGAUAUUGGUGUUCGGUUCGGCUUGUGUAGGAUAGCUGGGAGACUUUGAUCAUCGGACGCCAGUUCGGUGUGAGUCGUCGUUGAAAUACCAGUCUGGUCGUGCUGGAUGUCUAACCUGGGUCCGUGAUCCGGAUCAGGGACAGUGUCUGAUGGGUAGUUUAACUGGGGCGGUUGCCUCCUAAAGAGUAACGGAGGCGCCCAAAGGUUCCCUCAGCCUGGUUGGUAAUCAGGUGUUGAGUGUAAGUGCACAAGGGAGCUUGACUGUGAGACCGACGGGUCGAGCAGGGACGAAAGUCGGGACUAGUGAUCCGGCGGUGGCUUGUGGAAGCGCCGUCGCUCAACGGAUAAAAGGUACCCCGGGGAUAACAGGCUGAUCUUCCCCAAGAGUCCAUAUCGACGGGAUGGUUUGGCACCUCGAUGUCGGCUCGUCGCAUCCUGGGGCUGGAGUCGGUCCCAAGGGUUGGGCUGUUCGCCCAUUAAAGCGGUACGCGAGCUGGGUUUAGAACGUCGUGAGACAGUUCGGUCCCUAUCCGCUGUGCGCGUAGGAGUCUUGAGAAGGGCUGUCCCUAGUACGAGAGGACCGGGACGGACGAACCUCUGGUGUGCCAGUUGUCCUGCCAAGGGCAUGGCUGGUUGGCUACGUUCGGGAGGGAUAACCGCUGAAAGCAUCUAAGCGGGAAGCCUGCUUCGAGAUGAGGACUCCCACCCACUUGAUGGGUUAAGGCUCCCAGUAGACGACUGGGUUGAUAGGCCGGAUCUGGAAGCACGGUAACGUGUGGAGGUGACCGGUACUAAUAGGCCGAGGGCUUGUCCUC